RNAcentral lists this ribosomal RNA (266 nucleotides) under uncultured bacterium. Its description in RNAcentral is "partial 16S ribosomal RNA". It matches the Rfam family "Bacterial small subunit ribosomal RNA", at positions 793 to 1055 of the family's 1533-position model. The record is from RNAcentral.
GUCCACGCCCUAAACGAUGUCAACUGGUUGUUGGUGGGGUUAAACCCAUUAGUAACGAAGCUAACGCGUGAAGUUGACCGCCUGGGGAGUACGGCCGCAAGGUUAAAACUCAAAGGAAUUGACGGGGACCCGCACAAGCGGUGGAUGAUGUGGAUUAAUUCGAUGCAACGCGAAGAACCUUACCUACCCUUGACAUGUACGGAAGCUUGCUGAGAGGCGAGUGUGCUCGAAAGAGAGCCGUAACACAGGUGCUGCAUGGCUGUCGU